Molecule: ribosomal RNA, 468 nt
Filed under: uncultured bacterium
Lineage: Bacteria
Description: partial 16S ribosomal RNA
Rfam family: Bacterial small subunit ribosomal RNA
Source: RNAcentral
GACGAACGCUGGCGGCGUGCUUAACACAUGCAAGUCGAACGGAAAGGCCCUGCUUUUGUGGGGUGCUCGAGUGGCGAACGGGUGAGUAACACGGGAGUAACCUGCCCUUGACUUUGGGAUAACUUCAGGAAACUGGGGCUAAUACCGGAUAGGAGCUCCUGCUGCAUGGUGGGGGUUGGAAAGUUUCGGCGGUUGGGGAUGGACGCGCGGCUUAUCAGCUUGUUGGUGGGGUAGUGGCUUACCAAGGCUUUGACGGGUAGCCGGCCUGAGAGGGUGACCGGCCACAUUGGGACUGAGAUACGGACCAGACUCCUACGGGAGGCAGCAGUGGGGAAUAUUGCACAAUGGGCGGAAGCCUGAUGCAGCAACGCCGCGUGCGUGAUGAAGGCCUUCGGGUUGUAAACCGCUUUCGCCUGUGACGAAGCGUGAGUGACGGUAAUGGGUAAAGAAGCACCGGCUAACUACGUG